Molecule: long non-coding RNA, 1194 nt
Organism: Amphimedon queenslandica
Lineage: Eukaryota; Metazoa; Porifera; Demospongiae; Haplosclerida; Niphatidae
Exons: 3
Source: RefSeq, a predicted model, not a curated record
GUUGUGUGUUAGCCUAAAACACAACUAAGUACAUGUAAGUUGUGUUUUAAUGUUAGACACAACAUUAGUUUUAGCCCUCACUAAAUCAAUUAGUGUUUAACAUAAUGUCACCUCCUCCACAUUAUAAUGAGACACACAUUAACUGAUCAAUCAUUAGCUGAUACUAAUGGACUAAUGUUCAUAUACUGUAUAUUACAUACAGUCACUAGUCAAUAGUGUCUGCUGGAGUAGAGGAGGAGGUGUCUGUUAUAAGGAGUGUAUCUGUUAAUAGUAUCACAUUGUACUAAUAAUAGUGAUAAUAGUAUUUAAUAAUAAUUGUUUUUAAUAGCUGUUUGUCGUUCCUAAACUGUUUGACUCCUCCCACUACUGUCACUAGUAAUGUUAUCAUUAUCUUCAAUGAGACACAAUAAUAAUUGUUAGUUUUAUCAUAACUGCUGGUAGUUCGUCAUCAACAGCUGCUAGUAGGACCAGUCAUCAGGAACUACUGUAGCAUCAUAUUGUUCAUCAUCUACUAGACUGUACUAUAUAGCAAUGAUACUAAUCAACCAACAGCUAAAACCAUGUAUACACCUUGUAUUGUUAUAAAAUUAAAGGUAAGGAUUCCUUAUUAAAUGCUCAUAAUUAUUCAAACCUUCUAUCUGUAUGAUAAAACAUUGCUAGUAUAGCCUACAUAAUGAUCAGUGAGUAACUAAUUAUAAUUAUCCGAGGGGGUCUAAUUCUGUCCUUUUUUACUGGCCCCUGAAGUUUACUGUCGUGUCAAGUAACCAUUAUUUGUACAUUAAUUUUGUACAUUAUCAAUGAUACAUAAUGAAUGGUCUGUAGUAAUAUGUUAUCUCCUCCAAUGGAAGAGACACACAGCACAUAUUUAGUACACUAGUCAAUAGUGUCUGCUGGAGUAGAGGAGGAGGUGUCUGUUAUAAGGAGUGUAUCUGUUAAUAGUAUCACAUUGUACUAAUAAUAGUGAUAAUAGUAUUUAAUAAUAAUUGUUUUUAAUAGUUGUUUGUCAGUCCCAAACUGUUUGACUCCUCCCACUACUGUCACUAGUAAUGUUAUCAUUAUCUUCAAUGAGACACAGGAUAUAUUAUAAUAAUUGUUAGUUUUAUAGUAACUGCUGGUAGUUCAUCAACAACAGCUGCUACUAGGACCAAUCAUCAGGAACUACUGAACUACUGUAUCUUAAUUACUGUUCAUUUA